Molecule: ribosomal RNA, 610 nt
Filed under: uncultured Lautropia sp.
Lineage: Bacteria; Pseudomonadati; Pseudomonadota; Betaproteobacteria; Burkholderiales; Burkholderiaceae
Description: bacterial SSU rRNA
Rfam family: Bacterial small subunit ribosomal RNA
Source: RNAcentral
CCUACGGGAGGCAGCAGGCCAAGCCCAAACUCAAAGGAAUUGACGGGAAUUUUGGACAAUGGGCGCAAGCCUGAUCCAGCAAUGCCGCGUGUGUGAUGAAGGCCUUCGGGUUGUAAAGCACUUUUGGCGGGAACGAAAAGGACUGUGCCAAUACCACGGUUCGAUGACGGUACCCGCAGAAUAAGCACCGGCUAACUACGUGCCAGCAGCCGCGGUAAUACGUAGGGUGCGAGCGUUAAUCGGAAUUACUGGGCGUAAAGAGUGCGCAGGCGGUUUUGCAAGACCGAUGUGAAAUCCCCGGGCUUAACCUGGGAACUGCAUUGGUGACUGCAAGGCUAGAGUGUGUCAGAGGGAGGUGGAACUCCGCAUGUAGCAGUGAAAUGCGUAGAUAUGCGGAAGAACACCGAUGGCGAAGGCAGCCUCCUGGGAUAACACUGACGCUCAUGCACGAAAGCGUGGGGAGCAAACAGGAUUAGAUACCCUGGUAGUCCACGCCCUAAACGAUGUCUACUAGUUGUCGGGGAUUAAUUUCCUUAGUAACGCAGCUAACGCGUGAAGUAGACCGCCUGGGGAGUACGGUCGCAAGAUUAAAACUCAAAGGAAUUGACGG